Molecule: ribosomal RNA, 329 nt
Filed under: uncultured eukaryote
Lineage: Eukaryota
Description: partial 18S ribosomal RNA
Rfam family: Eukaryotic small subunit ribosomal RNA
Source: RNAcentral
CCCUUAGAUGUUCUGGGCCGCACGCGCGCUACACUGACGGAGGCAGCGAGCGUGUCCUUCGCCGGCAGGUGCGGGCAAUCUUGCGAGUCUCCGUCGUGCUGGGGAUAGAUGGUUGCAAUUGUCGAUCUUGAACGAGGAAUUCCUAGUAAGCGCGAGUCAUCAACUCGCGCUGAUUACGUCCCUGCCCUUUGUACACACCGCCCGUCGCUACUACAGAGUGCCCGUGUCCAAGAAACGGUCGGACCUGUGCGGCCUCUCCGGGCGACCGGAGGGCCGUUACGGGGAAGACCCUUUAUUUGACGCGGGUCGAUGAAGUAAAAGUCGUAACA